AAUGGUUUAGGCCAUGGCGUACGGGUGAGUAAUAGGCUAAUAUCUAGCCCCAACUUUGGGAUAAUCCUAUCCCUGAGGGGAGAAAGUAAUGGGAAAAUACCAAAUAGUUAUAAAGGUACGCCGGUUGGGGAUGAUUAGGCCCAGUAUUAGGUAGUUGGUAGGGUAAGGCUUACCAAGCCGUUGAUGCUUAGUUGGUCUGGUAGGACGAUCAAUCACACUGGGACUGAGACAAGGCCCAGGUUUCAUUUGAAGGCAGCAGUAAGGAAUAUUGCACAAUGAGCGAAAGCUCGAUGCAGCAAGACUUGGUGAGGGAUUGAAGGCUUAGGUUGUAAACCUCUUUUUUAACUGAGGAUAAUGACAUUAGGUUAAGAAUAAGUCCCGACUAACUUCGUGCCAGCAGUCGCGGUAAUACGGAGGGGGCAAGCCUUAUUCGUCAUAACUGGGCGUAAAGGGCCCGUAGGUUGCUUUCUGGGAGGUUAUUUGUUAAAGACUGUAGCUUAACUAUAGAAAAGCAUUUAAAACAGGAAAGCUAGAGUCUGACAGAGGGAAAUGGAAUUUUUUAAUUAGGGUUAAAAUCCAAAGAAGUAAAAGAGAACAUCAGCUGCGAAGGCAAUUUCCUUGUUCAGUACUGACGCUGAGGGGCGAAGGCGUAGGUAGCGAACAGGAUUUGAGACCCUGGUAGUCUACGCUGUCAACGAUGAGUGCUAGUUUUUAGAAAUCUAGAAAAUAUAGCUAAGGCAUUAAGCACUCCGCCUGAGGAGUACGAGCGCAAGCUUAAAAAUCAACGGAAUUGGCGGGGGUUCAAACAAGUGGUGGAGCAUGUGGUUUAAUGCGAUAAUACGCGCGUAACCUUACCAGUCCUAGUAAGUCUGUCGUUCUUACGGAGACGUAAUGAAUUUUGAGGCUUUCAGGUGUUGC
This 918-nucleotide ribosomal RNA is filed under the name uncultured microorganism. Its description in RNAcentral is "SSU rRNA". It matches the Rfam family "Bacterial small subunit ribosomal RNA", at positions 82 to 1044 of the family's 1533-position model. The record is from RNAcentral.